Long non-coding RNA from Pangasianodon hypophthalmus (striped catfish), 395 nucleotides. RefSeq lists it as uncharacterized. The transcript is spliced from 3 exons. Lineage: Eukaryota; Metazoa; Chordata; Actinopteri; Siluriformes; Pangasiidae. The record is from RefSeq and is a predicted model, not a curated record.
AGUUCUGCAGGUGGAAACAUCUUGUUGGUGAGAGUUCAGAGGAGAAUGACCAGACUGGUUCGAGCUGCCAGGAAGCCUACAGUAACUCAGAUAACCGUGAGGUGGAUGGGAAUCGGAUUUCUGUCAGUCACAAACAGGAAUCUGAGGCUACAGCAGGCACAGGAUCACCAAAAUUAGACAGGAGACCUCAGCAGGCGGUAACACAAGCGCCAAAUUUUGGACUAAAGUGGGUUUGAAAAUACAACCGCUCCUGUGGAUUUCAAAGUUCCCACUCCCUGUUGGGCUUCAGCAUUCACAACAGCACAAGUGAUAAGACCUGAGAAAUAGACGGCUUACAUCUCUGUAGCCUUGCCCAUGCUGACCCCAGAUUUCCCCUGCCACAUCCUUGCAGCCCC